CGAUUCUGGCUCAGGAUGAACGCUAGCGACAGGCUAACACAUGCAAGUCGAGGGGCAGCAUAGAAGUAGCAAUACUCGGUGGCGACCGGCGCACGGGUGAGUAACGCGUAUGCAACCUACCUAUCAGGAGGGGAAUAACCCGGCGAAAGUCGGACUAAUACCGCAUAAAACAGGGGCACCGCAUGGUGAUAUUUGUUAAAGAAAUUCGCUGAUAGAUGGGCAUGCGUUCCAUUAGGUAGUUGGUGAGGUAACGGCUCACCAAGCCGACGAUGGAUAGGGGAACUGAGAGGUUGGUCCCCCACACUGGUACUGAGACACGGACCAGACUCCUACGGGAGGCAGCAGUGAGGAAUAUUGGUCAAUGGGCGGGAGCCUGAACCAGCCAAGUCGCGUGAAGGAAGAAGGAUCUAUGGUUCGUAAACUUCUUUUGCAGGGGAAUAAAGUGCAGGACGUGUCCUGUUUUGUAUGUACCCUGAGAAUAAGGAUCGGCUAACUCCGUGCCAGCAGCGGC
Molecule: ribosomal RNA, 511 nt
Filed under: uncultured bacterium
Lineage: Bacteria
Description: bacterial SSU rRNA
Rfam family: Bacterial small subunit ribosomal RNA
Source: RNAcentral